This 69-nucleotide transfer RNA is filed under the name Camelus bactrianus (Bactrian camel). It matches the Rfam family "tRNA". Rfam says of the family: Transfer RNA (tRNA) molecules are approximately 80 nucleotides in length. Lineage: Eukaryota; Metazoa; Chordata; Mammalia; Artiodactyla; Camelidae. RNAcentral also lists the same sequence under 2 other names. The record is from Rfam by way of RNAcentral.
GGUGGCACAGCUCAGUAGAGCACAUGCCUAGCAUGCAUGAGGUCCUGGGUUCAGUCCCCAGUGCCUCCA